Non-coding RNA from Nannospalax galili (Upper Galilee mountains blind mole rat), 378 nucleotides. The record is from the annotation of a RefSeq genome assembly. NCBI's taxonomy places the organism in Eukaryota, Metazoa, Chordata, Mammalia, Rodentia, Spalacidae.
CUGAUCAGCGUCGAACAUAGACUCAUCAUGGGACUGGAACUGAACUGGGUUUUCCUUGUUGCUCUUCUAAAAUGUGUCCAGUGUGAGGUGAAGAUUGUGAAGUCUAGGGGAGGCUUGGUACAGCCUGGAGGGUCGCUGAGACUCUCUUGUACAGCCUCUGGAUUUUCAUUCAGUGGUACCUACAUGUGCUGGGUUCGACAGGCUCCGGGGAAGGGGCUGGAAUGUGUUGCAGAAAUUAAUCCAAGUGGAGGUGCCAUGAACUAUGGAACCUCUGUGAAGGGCCAAUUCAUCAUCUCCAGAGACAAUUCCAUGAACACCCUCUACCUGCAAAUGAGCAGCCUGAGGCCUGAGGACACAGUCAUCUAUUACUGUGGUUGA